UACGUAGGUGGCAAGCGUUGCCCGGAAUUAUUGGGCGUAAAGCGCGCGCAGGCGGUUUUUUAAGUCUGAUGUGAAAGCCCCCGGCUCAACCGGGGAGGGUCAUUGGAAACUGGGAAACUUGAGUGCAGAAGAGGAAAGUGGAAUUCCAAGUGUAGCGGUGAAAUGCGUAGAGAUUUGGAGGAACACCAGUGGCGAAGGCGACUUUCUGGUCUGUAACUGACGCUGAGGCGCGAAAGCGUGGGGAGCAAACAGG
This 253-nucleotide ribosomal RNA is filed under the name uncultured bacterium. RNAcentral describes it as "partial 16S ribosomal RNA". It matches the Rfam family "Bacterial small subunit ribosomal RNA", at positions 524 to 776 of the family's 1533-position model. The record is from RNAcentral.